AUUGAACGCUGGCGGCGUGCCUAACACAUGCAAGUCGAGCGGCAGCGCGGGAGCAAUCCUGGCGGCGAGCGGCGGACGGGUGAGUAAUGCUUGGGAAUCUGCCUGUUAGUGGGGGACAACCCGGGGGAAACUCGGGCUAAUACCGCAUACGCACUACGGUGGAAAGCCGGGGACCGCAAGGCCUGGCGCUAACAGAUGAGCCCAAGUCGGAUUAGCUAGUUGGUAGGGUAACGGCCACCAAGGCGACGAUCCGUAACUGGUCUGAGAGGACGACCAGUCACACCGGGGACUGAGACACGGCCCAGACUCCUACGGGAGGCAGCAGUGGGGAAUAUUGGACAAUGGGCGCAAGCCUGAUCCAGCGAUGCCGCGUGUGUGAAGAAGGCCUGCGGGUUGUAAAGC
Molecule: ribosomal RNA, 402 nt
Filed under: uncultured bacterium
Lineage: Bacteria
Description: bacterial SSU rRNA
Rfam family: Bacterial small subunit ribosomal RNA
Source: RNAcentral